UACAAAUAAUUUUAUUAAAAUCCCAUAUCAUUAUUUUAAAUAAUAAUUAAGCCGGUGAUACCGCUUUUGAAACAGACACACAAUAAGCCCAUACUUCAUCUCUUUUCUGUAAAUAUUUGGAUUCGUUUCCGAUUAAACUAGGUCUAUCCGCGAUAUAUUUGACAAGUGUGUCAUGACACUCUUUGCCUUCUUGAACAAGCUCCUUGCAACAAGGAAUGGAUACAACUCCAUCUCCAAAAACUUGAGAAAUGAUCUUGAGCGCACAGUUUGGACUGAUUUUAACAACACAUUGAUCCCAUAACUUUUUUGGCUCAUUUUCUUCUACAGCGAAUGAAGGUACACAUGUAUUCGCCACAACUAGGACAACAAAAGACAACAUAGUAAAGUUAAGCUUCGCCAUGGUUGUUAUGUGUUUGAGGAUUUACUGUUUAACUUUCCUCAAGUUAGAGAAAGAAAUAAGUUUUUAAAUUUCUGAUGUUAUUUGAAUAAACGAGGCUUGCCCUAUUUAUAGAUACGAAUAAUCAAUAUUUAACAUUUAUGUUCGACUAAUGAAUUUUGCUUUUGACGUUUUUAUCAUUAACAGGUGUUAAGUUACAUUUUUUGCUGAAGUUAUUAACUGCUUAGGCUUAUACUUUAUAAAGAAUUAAAUUAGGAUUCCUGUAGUAUACAAAUGAACACACUAAAAAGUUAUAUAAUUAUUUAAAUUAAAAACUACCGAACAUUUUUAAUGAAUUUUUUUUUUGUCAGCAACAUAUAAUUUGGUGGUUGUAUAUCAACUUACUACAAAAACCAAAAGUACACUCUAACAUUUGAUCAAUCUAGAAAUGAUUUAAAGUAUAUAUCGAUAUAUCUCUCUCUCUAUAAGAUUAAAGGAAAGAGUUUCAGAUUUUAUAUAUUUUUUAUUUCGUAAUGUAGGAUGCUUAAGAAUGUAAUUUUAUCCUUUUAAUUUUAUAAACUUUUAUAUAGGGAUGGUUAUGAGGUAAAACAUGACUCCACUUGGGAAAAUAAUCUACAAAUUUCAAUUCCUAUACAAGAAAUAAAACAUGAAAUCUAUAUAGAAUGAAAUUUAAUAAAAACUUAAAAAUAAAUUUUCGAAUUUAAACUUGCCAUAUCAUAUUUUAUCAGUUUAUAACUUACAUAAUAUUUUAAUUACUAUAUAUUUUCUCAAGGAAAUUUAUGUGUCUCAUAUUAAACAUAUAACUAGCAUAUAUAUACUUAUAUAAAUUAACGAAUGGUUAUUUUUAUUCUUGAAUGAAUUUUUUUAAUAGAGUUGAGUGCUUUUAAAAAUGGUUCAUGCACAGUUUUGAGCCGCGACUCUGUUUGUAUUUGGUUAAUGUUUCUUAAAUCAUUCUUCAAAUUGUGUAUCCGAUCAAUUUAUUCAAAAUAUAUUUAAUAACUCCAAAAUUUAAAUAUGAAAACGUAUGUGAUGGGAAAAAGAAAAUGGUAUAUAGAUUGUGCGACCACUUGAAGGUGAUACUAUAAAUGUAAUAAGUCUGUUGCGGUCUUGUGGAUUGGAGAAAUAGUAGAUUUUUAAGAUUACAAAUUAGUGUUUAUUUUGAUAUUUCAACUUAUUAAUUCAUAAAAAGUUUAAAUAUUAUUAUUUUUUUAAUUGGCAUCUAAAACUGAGAAAAGGGAACAAAUAAUGCAAAAUAAAUUAAGUAACACAAAACGAUAAAUAUCAAUAUAAAUCUCACAUGAAUAUAUUAAAAAUUAAUUUUGAAUUUGUAUGCAAAUACAAAUAAUUUUAUUAAAAUCCCAGAUCAUUAUUUUAAAUAAUAAUUAAGCCGGUGAUACCGCUUUUGAAACAGACACACAAUAAGCCCAUACUUCAUCUCUUUUCUGUAAAUAUUUGGAUUCGUUUCCGAUUAAACUAGGUCUAUCCGCGAUAUAUUUGACAAGUGUGUCAUGACACUCUUUGCCUUCUUGAACAAGCUCCUUGCAACAAGGAAUGGAUACAACUCCAUCUCCAAAAACUUGAGAAAUGAUCUUGAGCGCACAGUUUGGACUGAUUUUAACAACACAUUGAUCCCAUAACUUUUUUGGCUCAUUUUCUUCUACAGCGAAUGAAGGUACACAUGUAUUCGCCACAACUAGGACAACAAAAGACAACAUAGUAAAGUUAAGCUUCGCCAUGGUUGUUAUGUGUUUGAGGAUUUACUGUUUAACUUUCCUCAAGUUAGAGAAAGAAAUAAGUUUUUAAAUUUCUGAUGUUAUUUGAAUAAACGAGGCUUGCUCUAUUUAUAGAUACGAAUAAUCAAUAUUUAACAUUUAUGUUCGACUAAUGAAUUUUGCUUUUGACGUUUUUAUCAUUAACAUGUGUUAAGUUAAAUUUUUUUUGCUGAAGUUAUUAACUGCUUAGGCUUAUACUUUAUAAAGAAUUAAAUUAGGAUUCCUGUAGUAUACAAAUGAACACACUAAAAAGUUAUAUAAUUAUUUAAAUUAAAAACUACCGAACAUUUUUAAUGAAUUUUUUUUUUGUCAGCAACAUAUAAUUUGGUGGUUGUAUAUCAACUUACUACAAAAACCAAAAGUACACUCUAACAUUUGAUCAAUCUAGAAAUGAUUUAAAGUAUAUAUCGAUAUAUCUCUAUCUCUCUAAGAUUAAAGGAAAGAGUUUCAGAUUUUAUAUAUUUUUUAUUUCGUAAUAUAGGAUGCUUAAGAAUGUAAUUUUAUCCUUUCAAUUUUAUAAACUUUUAUAUAGGGAUGGUUAUGAGGUAAAACAUGACUCCACUUGGGAAAAUAAUCUACAAAUUUCAAUUCCCUAUACAAGAAAUGAAACAUGAAAUCUAUAAAGAAUGAAAUUUAAUAAAAACAGAAAAACAAAUUUUCAAAUUUAGACUUGCCACAUAGAUUAACUACUAUAUAUUUCUCAAGGAAAUUUAUGUGUCUCAUAUUAAACAUAUAAAUAGCAUAUAUAUGCUUAUAUAAAUUAACGAAUGGUUAUUUUUAUUCUUGAAUGAAUUUUUUAAUUGAGUUGAGUCCUUUUAAAAAUGUUUCAUGCACAGUUUUGAGCCGCGACUCCGUUUGUACUUGGUUAUUUUUUUCUUAAAUCAUUCUCCAAGCUGUAUUUUCGAUCAAUUUCUUCAAAAUAUAUGUAAUAACAGCAAAAUUUAAAUAUGAAAACAAAUGUUAUGGGAAACAGAAAAUGGUAUAUAGAUUGUGCGACCACUUGUUGAAGGUGAUACUAUAAAUGUAAUAAGUCUGUUGCGGUCUUGUGGAUUGCCGAAAUGCUAGAUUUUUAAGAUUACAAAUUAGUGUUUAUUUUGAUAAUUCGCCUUAUUAAUUCAUAAAAACUGUGAGUAUUUAAAGAUUUUUAAGUAUUAAUUUUUUUAUUUGGCAUCUAAAACUGAGAAAGGGGAAUAAAGUAAUGCAAAAUAAAAUAAGUAACACAAAACGAUAAAUAUAAAUCUCACAUGAAUGUAUUAAAAAUUAAUUUUGAAUUUGUAUGCAAAUACAAAUAAUUUUAUUAAAAUCCCAUAUCAUUAUGUUAAAUAAUAAUUAAGCCGGCGAUACCGCUUUUGAAACAGACACACAAUAAGCCCAUACUUCAUCUCUUUUCUGUAAAUAUUUGGAUUCGUUUCCGAUUAAACAAGGUCUAUCCGCGAUAUAUUUGACAAGUGUGUCAUGACACUCUUUGCCUUCUUGAACAAGCUCCUUGCAACAAGGAAUGGAUACAACUCCAUCUCCAAAAACUUGAGAAAUGAUCUUGAGCGCACAGUUUGGACUGAUUUUAACAACACAUUGAUCCCAUAACUUUUUUGGCUCAUUUUCUUCUACAGCUAAUGAAGGUACACAUGUAUUCGCCACAACUAGGACAACA
Molecule: long non-coding RNA, 3820 nt
Filed under: Brassica napus (rape)
Lineage: Eukaryota; Viridiplantae; Streptophyta; Magnoliopsida; Brassicales; Brassicaceae
Description: long non-coding RNA (BNAP_LNC019052)
Source: RNAcentral